AAAAUUGGCUUCCGUAAUGAGUGGCCCACAUAGGACAACUUGUUGGCACUUUGUGUAGAAUUGGCAUGAAGAUAUUUUGGAAGCAUAAUGUUUUGGUUCUUGGAUCUUUGAUCCCC
Cavia aperea (Brazilian guinea pig) is the source of this 116-nucleotide small nuclear RNA. The record is from Ensembl. Lineage: Eukaryota; Metazoa; Chordata; Mammalia; Rodentia; Caviidae.